UGGUCAAGUUAUUAAGGGUGCAGGGCGGAUGCCUUGGCACUAGGAGCCGAUGAAGGACGUGAUAAGCUGCGAUAAGCUUCGGGGAGUUGCACGUAAACUUUGAUCCGAAGAUUUCCGAAUGAGGAAACUCACUUAGAGUAAUGUCUAAGUAUCAUUAAGUGAAUACAUAGCUUAAUGAGGGGAACUCAGGGAACUGAAACAUCUAAGUACCUGAAGGAAGAGAAAGAAAUUCGAUUCCGUAAGUAGCGGCGAGCGAACGCGGAUUAGCCCAAACCAAUAAAGUUUUCUUUAUUGGGGUUGCGGACAUAUCAUAACGAAGAGGUAUCGUAAUUGAAGAGGUUUGGAAAGACCCACCACAG
This 359-nucleotide ribosomal RNA is filed under the name Clostridioides difficile. RNAcentral's name for it is "partial 23S ribosomal RNA". It matches the Rfam family "Bacterial large subunit ribosomal RNA", at positions 1 to 360 of the family's 2925-position model. The record is from RNAcentral. Lineage: Bacteria; Bacillati; Bacillota; Clostridia; Peptostreptococcales; Peptostreptococcaceae.